RNAcentral lists this ribosomal RNA (491 nucleotides) under uncultured bacterium. RNAcentral's name for it is "partial 16S ribosomal RNA". It matches the Rfam family "Bacterial small subunit ribosomal RNA", at positions 29 to 506 of the family's 1533-position model. The record is from RNAcentral.
AGUGAACGCUGGCGGUAGGCCUAACACAUGCAAGUCGAACGGCAGCACAGUAAGAGCUUGCUCUUACGGGUGGCGAGUGGCGGACGGGUGAGGAAUACAUCGGAAUCUACUUUUUCGUGGGGGAUAACGUAGGGAAACUUACGCUAAUACCGCAUACGACCUACGGGUGAAAGCAGGGGAUCUUCGGACCUUGCGCGAUUGAAUGAGCCGAUGUCGGAUUAGCUAGUUGGCGGGGUAAAGGCCCACCAAGGCGACGAUCCGUAGCUGGUCUGAGAGGAUGAUGAGCCACGCUGGAACUGAGACACGGUACAGACUCCUACGGGAGGCAGCAGUGGGGAAUAUGGGACAAUGGGCGCAAGCCUGAUCAAGCCAUCCCGCGUGGGUGAAGAAGGCCUUAGGGUUGUAAAGCCCUUUUGUUGGGAAAGAAAAGCAGCAGGUUAAUACCCCGCUGUUCUGACGGUACCCAAAGAAUAAGCACCGGCUAACUUCGU